This 301-nucleotide ribosomal RNA is filed under the name uncultured bacterium. RNAcentral's name for it is "partial 16S ribosomal RNA". It matches the Rfam family "Bacterial small subunit ribosomal RNA", at positions 509 to 807 of the family's 1533-position model. The record is from RNAcentral.
CAGUCGCCGCGGGAAUACGAAGGGGGCUAGCGUUGUUCGGAAUUACUGGGCGUAAAGCGCACGUAGGCGGAUAUUUAAGUCAGGGGUGAAAUCCCAGAGCUCAACUCUGGAACUGCCUUUGAUACUGGGUAUCUUGAGUAUGGAAGAGGUGAGUGGAAUUCCGAGUGUAGAGGUGAAAUUCGUAGAUAUUCGGAGGAACACCAGUGGCGAAGGCGGCUCACUGGUCCAUUACUGACGCUGAGGUGCGAAAGCGUGGGGAGCAAACAGGAUUAGAUACCCCUGUAGUCCCUGUCUCUUAUAC